GAAGAAGGGGCUAGCUUAUUGUUCAUGCAUGAUGAACCCAGGAUAAGGGCUCCACAAUCACCAGUGUUGUCUCCUUCAAUUGUAAACCUCUGCGGAGCUUAUAGCAGUAUUGAGCAUUUUUCACUUUGAUUUUGUUUAGCUUUGCAGAGCUUUUAUCCAGUAGCUAUCACAUUAACUCCUUAUGCCCUUUUCUCAUCAAGUCUUCAUUGCGCAAGCACUUGAAAAGGUGCAAUAAAAAGAAGAAGGCUCUUAGAGUUGCUGGUCAGUUAAAUGCCUCUAUCAUGACCCCUGAUAGAGUUGCAUUAGAGCCUUGGACAUUUAAUCAGGCAGUGUCAUGCAAAGAGCUCAUGAGUAUGAUUGUGUUGCACGAGUUACCUUUCUCACUUGUGGAAUAUGAUGGCUUCAGAAGGUUUGUCUCCAGUCUAAACCCAAGAUUUAAGAUGAUUUGCAGAAACUAUCAGAUUUUCAAAGUCGAAUGACCCUAGAAACCCGUUGAAGCUCUAGUGUGUCUGCAAGACUGGAUGAGGGAAAAUGGCAAAAUUAUGAGACAUAUGUUAAUUGCAUUUCUCACUAAUGCUUCAAUUUCACAAAGUCAUAAAAUUUGCUCUUGUUUUGUGCAGCUCAUAGUCAGCGCCGCAUGGACUCGGUUCAUGACAUUAUCUCAAUUUUGGAAGGUACUUUUUUCCUACUACUUUUUCAUCUCAUUUCUGUUAAGAAUAUAUGUCUAACCUCAAGUAGACAUGUUGCAGUAUGGAAAUUCUUGUAGCAUAUGUUAUUCCUGUUAACACAUGGUGACCAAUGAUUGCGAUCUAACCUCAAGUAGCAUAUAGCAGUAAUCAGCCGACUGCAGAACAUGAUGGCUGCCCUGCCAAUGGCUGCCUUGCCAAUAAAAUGAAAAGCUGCAAAAUUGUUCUGUUGAAUGCCAUGGACCAUAUCACAUCUACUGGAUGGUAGUGGAGUAUUUUGUUGACAUCAAAAUACCAGCUAGGAGUAGAACUUGGAGAUAUACUACUUCUUUUUGAGGGGAAGAGAUAUACUACUAAUUGAUAGAGAUAUUCUACUUAAUUAUGAUCGGACUAUUUUUCUUCUUUUGUGGUGUAUAGCUACUGUCCCUUGUUCUGUUUUUUAUUGUUGCAUCUGAAUAUAUACAUAUGCACUGAAAUUCACCAAUUCAAUUUCCCUGAACACAGGUGAUGAGGCCACGGAGGGAUAAUAAGGUUCGUGAUGGUUGUGAGAACUGUUUGAUCCAGUAACGUCCAAUAUGUGAUGAAGCAAAAUAUGGUGAAAACUGAGAGUUAAAUGUUAUCUAUGAGUAAUCACUAGCAAAAAGAUGAGUUAUGUGUAAUGGCAGAGAUGAAUCAACAACUGAUGGCAAAAACUAUCCAAUCGUUGAUGUUGAAUUGUGAUGAUAGAGAUAAACUUCUGAUUAUUAAUUGCUAAUGGACAUGGAAGUUAAACUCUUAUAUUCAUUACGUGUACUCAUGCUUGCCUGAGUGCUUA
This 1500-nucleotide long non-coding RNA is filed under the name Panicum hallii. Its description in RNAcentral is "long non-coding RNA (PHAL_LNC000823)". The record is from RNAcentral. Lineage: Eukaryota; Viridiplantae; Streptophyta; Magnoliopsida; Poales; Poaceae.